GACGAACGCUGGCGGCGUGCCUAAUACAUGCAAGUAGAACGCACAGUUUAUACCGUAGCUUGCUACACCAUAGACUGUGAGUUGCGAACGGGUGAGUAACGCGUAGGUAACCUGCCUGGUAGCGGGGGAUAACUAAUGGAAACGAUAGCUAAUACCGCAUAAUAUUAAUUAUUGCAUGAUAAUUGAUUGAAAGAUGCAACUGCAUCACUACCAGAUGGACCUGCGUUGUAUUAGCUAGUAGGUGAGGUAACGGCUCACCUAGGCGACGAUACAUAGCCGACCCGGGAGGGUGAUCGGCCAACCUGGGACUGAGACACGGCCCAGACUCCUACGGGAGGCAGCAGUAGGGAAUCUUCGGCAAUGGACGAAAGUCUGACCGAGCAACGCCGCGGGAGUGAAGAAGGUUUUCGGAUCGUAAAGCUCUGUUGUAAGAGAAGAACGGGGGUGAGAGUGGAAAGUUCACACUGUGACGGUAUCUUACCAGAAAGGGACGGCUAACUACGUG
RNAcentral lists this ribosomal RNA (505 nucleotides) under uncultured bacterium. RNAcentral describes it as "partial 16S ribosomal RNA". It matches the Rfam family "Bacterial small subunit ribosomal RNA", at positions 28 to 507 of the family's 1533-position model. The record is from RNAcentral.